CAGCCGUAAACGAUACUCGCUAGGUGUCGGCCACGGUGCGACCGUUGUCGGUGCCGUAGGGAAGCCGUGAAGCGAGCCACCUGGGAAGUACGGCCGCAAGGCUGAAACUUAAAGGAAUUGGCGGGGGAGCACCACAACGGGUGGAGCUUGCGGUUUAAUUGGAUUCAACGCCGGGAAUCUCACCGGAUAAGACAGCUGAAUGAUAGUCGGGAUGAAGACUCUACUUGACUAGCUGAGAGGUGGUGCAUGGCGUAGUCGUGU
This 261-nucleotide ribosomal RNA is filed under the name uncultured archaeon. Its description in RNAcentral is "partial 16S ribosomal RNA". It matches the Rfam family "Archaeal small subunit ribosomal RNA", at positions 748 to 1009 of the family's 1478-position model. The record is from RNAcentral.